GGUUCAAUGAACCUCAAAUGCAAUCUCUCUCCCACGCCAUUUCUCUAUUAAAUAUACAGUUCUGGGACACAAAGAUCAAAAGUGAGAGAGAGUCACAACUCCUUUUAUGUCUUUGGUUGCCGCUAGCUCUGGCCUGCUGCUCUUUUCGGACUUGGUUCAGCUUCAACUUCAAUCUUUGUGCUAAAUGCUCACAAAUUAGAGGCUCUCUUCGACCAUUGGAUUCAUCACCUUUUCAAGCUGCUAGCUAAUCGGGCAGGCAAUAUCAGUACUGGAAGUCGAUAUUGGGUGAAACGUCCUACUCAGGAGGAACACAAGAGGAUCAUCGAGGAACGAGCUAAACGUCCUCUAGCUAGCUAAGCAGCAACAUUUUGAUCUGCUCCUGUAUUUGCAGCAUGCAGCAGUCGUUGAGAAGGUUGAUGGAAGUAUUAACAAUGAUCAUUAUGAUAACCUACAGCUAGAUAUAUAUUUGUAGCAGAAACCUGGCCUUGGGAAUUAAGCUCGGUGACAUUAAUAUUCCUGUAGAUCGAUCUCAGCUUAGACAGUACUUGGGAACUCAACUCAAACUCUUCAUGCCAUGCCAGUACUUUGAUGCCGGGGAAAAGCUGAUCUGUAGUACCAAGAAUAUUGCUUCCAAGUAGUGAUGAAGGUGACGGUUCUUUGGAGGGCUAGCUCUUCAGAGUCAUCUAAUAAAUAGGUUGAUAAUUGCACUAAAAAAUCAGUCUCCAAUCUCUGGAGUAGGCCUUCCAGUUGUUCAGCUAGACCCUUCAUUCGAAGGAAGGGAAUAUGGUGUGAUUGGUAGCUUCUUGAAGUGGAAUGCAAUGUCCAAAGUGGAUAACCCUGAAUAUUCGAGUUUUUACGCAUAUGUUUCACUCUGAUCAAUUGGGAAUGAGCCAUGUCACAGACCAGUACUGCCAUGGCAGGGUGAGAAAGUUGGGAUGUGAUGGCGCCGGCGAGAGGACACGUGCCAUGCACGGUGGCUGAGGAACAUAUUGGCCUUUAACAUGAAGGCUAUGGGAAAGAUCAUUCGAUGGCUUUAGCAAAUGUCCUCCACUUCUGGUACAUUACUAGGAUCAAUAAACUGCACUGGUGAUGUCCUUGUUUGAGAUCCCGAUCGAGUUCUCGUACUUAAUUACUGUCAGAAGAGUUCCCCUUUACAACUUCAAGUUGGUGAAGCUUUUGUGAUCAUGUAUUGCAGACUGUAAGUACGUACAUGAUCCAAGGCCGGUCAAUCUGUCCCUUUGUUCUCCUCUCCUGCCUUGAAUAAAUCUCAGUGGAAGGAGAACAAAGGGAGCAGUCUGGUUGUAUCGAUGUGUUCAUCGAUCCGUCCUAUCAUUUCUAGCACAAGAAUCUGCAGCUUGUUAAUUACAAGUACUACUCGUGUACUAGUAGUACUUUGUGAGUUUGUUUUCCUUUCCUUUCAUGGUGCGUUGAGAUCAUAGACUUCCGGUUGAAACUCGAUGUAUGUCGUAUUUACAAGUACAAUACUAAGGCUGGAGAUUUUGAGACAAAAUAUAGCAUCUCAAAAAAAAAAAACUGUUUAAACAGUUUCAAA
Juglans microcarpa x Juglans regia is the source of this 1552-nucleotide long non-coding RNA. RefSeq lists it as uncharacterized. The transcript is spliced from 4 exons. Lineage: Eukaryota; Viridiplantae; Streptophyta; Magnoliopsida; Fagales; Juglandaceae. The record is from RefSeq and is a predicted model, not a curated record.